GAUGAACGCUAGCGACAGGCCUAACACAUGCAAGUCGAGGGGCAGCACGAAGGAAGCUUGCUUUCUUUGGUGGCGACCGGCGCACGGGUGCGUAACAGGUGUGCAAUCUGUCCAUAGUCGGGGAAUAGCCCAGCGAAAGUUGGAUUAAAGCUCCAUGUGUCACGAAGCCGCAUGACUUUGUGAUGAAACGUAAGGACUAUGGGUGAGCACGCUUCUGAUUAGGUAGUUGGUGAGGUAACGGCUCACCAAGCCGACGAUCAGUAGGGGUUCUGAGAGGAAGGUCCCCCACAUUGGAACUGAGACACGGUCCAAACUCC
This 317-nucleotide ribosomal RNA is filed under the name uncultured Paludibacter sp. Its description in RNAcentral is "bacterial SSU rRNA". It matches the Rfam family "Bacterial small subunit ribosomal RNA", at positions 28 to 339 of the family's 1533-position model. The record is from RNAcentral. Lineage: Bacteria; Pseudomonadati; Bacteroidota; Bacteroidia; Bacteroidales; Paludibacteraceae.